GUGGGGAAUCUUGCGCAAUGGGCGAAAGCCUGACGCAGCAACGCCGCGUGGGGGACGAAGGCUCUCGGGUUGUAAACCCCUUUCAGCAGGAACGAAAUUGACGGUACCUGCAGAAGAAGCCCCGGCCAACUACGUGCCAGCAGCCGCGGUAAUACGUAGGGGGCGAGCGUUGUCCGGAUUCAUUGGGCGUAAAGAGCUCGUAGGCGGUUUCGUAAGUCGGGUGUGAAAACCCCAGGCUCAACCUGGGGACGCCACCUGAUACUGCGAUGACUUGAGUCUGGUAGGGGACCACGGAAUUCCUGGUGUAGCGGUGAAAUGCGCAGAUAUCAGGAGGAACACCGGUGGCGAAGGCGGUGGUCUGGGCCAGUACUGACGCUGAGGAGCGAAAGCGUGGGUAGCAAACAGGAUUAGAAACCCCUGUAGUCC
This 426-nucleotide ribosomal RNA is filed under the name uncultured bacterium. RNAcentral describes it as "bacterial SSU rRNA". It matches the Rfam family "Bacterial small subunit ribosomal RNA", at positions 354 to 796 of the family's 1533-position model. The record is from RNAcentral.